Long non-coding RNA from Meriones unguiculatus (Mongolian gerbil), 1714 nucleotides. RefSeq lists it as uncharacterized. The transcript is spliced from 3 exons. NCBI's taxonomy places the organism in Eukaryota, Metazoa, Chordata, Mammalia, Rodentia, Muridae. The record is from RefSeq and is a predicted model, not a curated record.
CUCACUCAGUCACGAAGGCGGAAGCUCAGAUUUUGUUUUAAAGCCGCAGAGGACGUUAAAAGUUUUUAAGCAGGAAAGAAACGUGAUCCGCUUUAUGGCUUGAGGACUACAAUGGCUGUAGUGUGGUCAGUGAGUAGGGAAGAAAUAAAAGCAAGAAGAGAUGAGAGUGUGGUUCAGUGGUAAAGCACUGAGCAAGAUGUGGACAGCCCGGACUCCGCCCCAGCACGCCUAGCCUCGCCUCCUCUGCUCGUGCCUCCUCACUGCGCAUGGCAGCGGUCAUUACAAUCAUCCUUUUAAAACACAGAUCCGCUCGUCCCCAGGGCAGACCUUGUGGUGGCCUCGGGAAAGCGAGUGUGAGAAGCCUCUUCCCGGAUUCCAGCGCUCCUUCGGCGUAAAGCGGGGAGUGGGCACGGCGCCCCGGCACACCUGCAGAUGGCUGCCCAGCGGUGGUUUUGUGCACAGAGUCUCGCUCUGUAACCAGGGCGGCUUGCAAUUCAAUGAUCUUCCUGCCUCUGCUUCCCAAGUGCCGCGACUGUGGGCCUGAUUCUUUGCUAGGAGCGAGCAACUUAAGCGAGAGAAAUCCGGUGGGACGGACAGACCCCUGUGAGGAGGAAGGGAUUACUGAGUGACAGAGGCAGCGAUGAAAAGCCGAUACCUGUCCCGAUGGUGCUGGGAUGGCAGGAGGAUCUCUGUACUCGGCGAUGGAAGCUGCACUCCUGAGGACAGAUUUGGGUCAUUGUCUUGGAGCACAUAACUACAGGUUUUCUCUGUAUGGCCCUGGCUAACCUGGAACUUGAUCUGUAGACCAGGCUGGUCUUGAACUCAUAGAGAUCUGCGCUCUUCUGUCUCCUGAGUGCUGGGAUUAAAGUCAUGUGCACCACCACCAACCUGCUAAAAUAAUUUUUUAAUUAAAAAAUUACUAGUUCUGCCUUUGAUAGAGAUUCCCAGAAUGUUUUUUGUUGGUGGUGGUGGUUUGUGUUUCAUUUUGUUUUUCUGUUUCAUUGGUUUUGUCCAGGGAAUUGAACCCAGAACCUCCUGAAUGCUAACUAUGAAUUGUAUCACUGAGCUACCUGCCUGGCCUUGCCUUAUUUUUACCUGAAAUAAUUCAUUCAUUGGAGAAUAUGUUUUUCUUCUUGCAAAGAAGAAAACCUCCAGGUGGCUUUAAAAGUUGCAAAAAUAAAUAGCAAGACAAACAAUAUUAGAAAGGUAAAGGAGAGGAAGCAUAGAGGUAGAAAAGGCUGAAGAACAAGGGCAUCUCACAAGCAUGCCAUGAAAUUCCAGACUCACUAAGGAAGGAAGAAAGAACUUUGCCAGCUCCUUGGCCACCAAUAAAAUGACCAGAAAGUGAUCAAUUACAACAAGAUGCUGUGUUCAAAGCAAGAACAGCCUGGUUACUUGAGGAAAAUCAUCACCCUUCCUGGAUUUCUUACAGAGAGCAAAGCUUAGGAACAAAGUCAUUGUCAACAAUAUAUCUCUUACGGUAUAGUAGGAGAGAAACUUAAAGGAACACUUCUUCCUGUGCCCAUAAUAAAACUUGAAAGUGCUAUAGCCAGGGCUAGAGAUGGCUCAGUGGUUAAAGAGCACUGUCUGCUCUUCCAAAGGACCAGAGUUCAGAAGCAGUCCCCACAUGGCGGCUCACAGCUGUCUGUAACUCCAGUUUCAGGUGGCCCUUACACCAAUGCACAUAAAAUAAAAUUAAAUAAAUUAUAAAAAA